RNAcentral lists this ribosomal RNA (429 nucleotides) under uncultured bacterium. Its description in RNAcentral is "bacterial SSU rRNA". It matches the Rfam family "Bacterial small subunit ribosomal RNA", at positions 917 to 1350 of the family's 1533-position model. The record is from RNAcentral.
GGGCCCGCACAAGCGGUGGAGCAUGUGGUUUAAUUCGAUGAUACGCGAGGAACCUUACCAGGGUUUAAAUGCAGAACGACAGGGGUGGAAACACCCCCUUCUUCGGACGGACUGCAAGGUGCUGCAUGGUUGUCGUCAGCUCGUGCUGUGAAGUGUCGGGUUAAGUCCCAUAACGAGCGCAACCCCCAUUUCUAGUUGCCAGCGGUUCGGCCGGGGACUCUAGAGAAACUGCCAGCGUAAGCUGUGAGGAAGGUGGGGAUGACGUCAAAUCAUCACGGCCCUUACAUCCUGGGCCACACACGUGCUACAAUGGUGGGGACAACAGGUUGCCAACCCGCGAGGGUGAGCCAAUCCCAAAACCCCAUCUCAGUUCGGAUCGGAGUCUGCAACUCGACUCCGUGAAGGAGGAAUCGCUAGUAAUCGCAGGUC